RNAcentral lists this ribosomal RNA (601 nucleotides) under uncultured Bacteroidota bacterium. RNAcentral's name for it is "bacterial SSU rRNA". It matches the Rfam family "Bacterial small subunit ribosomal RNA", at positions 202 to 801 of the family's 1533-position model. The record is from RNAcentral. Lineage: Bacteria; Pseudomonadati; Bacteroidota.
AAAGCUCCGGCGGUUAGAGAUGGGCAUGCGGGACAUUAGCUUGUUGGUAAGGUAACGGCUUACCAAGGCUGCGAUGUCUAGGGGGUCUGAGAGGACUAUCCCCCACACUGGUACUGAGACACGGACCAGACUCCUACGGGAGGCAGCAGUGAGGAAUAUUGCGCAAUGGAGGAAACUCUGACGCAGCCAUGCCGCGUGCAGGAAUAAGGCCCUAUGGGUUGUAAACUGCUUUUAUACGGGAAGAAAUAUAUCUACGUGUAGAUAUUUGACGGUACCGUACGAAUAAGGAUCGGCUAACUCCGUGCCAGCAGCCGCGGUAAUACGGAGGAUCCAAGCGUUAUCCGGAUUUAUUGGGUUUAAAGGGUCCGCAGGCGGGAAAUUAAGUCAGUGGUGAAAUCCUACAGCUUAACUGUAGAACUGCCAUUGAUACUGGUUUUCUUGAGUACACCUGAAGUGGGCGGAAUGUGUCAUGUAGCGGUGAAAUGCUUAGAUAUGACACAGAGACACCGAUUGCGAAAGGCAGCUCACUAAAGUGUCACUGACGCUGAGGGACGAAAGCGUGGGGUAGCGAACAGGAUUAGAUACCCUGGUAGUCCACGCC